AUGAAGACCCAACAGCAUGAAGCUCGCCGCACAACUCGGCACAGCGGCCAGGUAGUUACCUCCGUCGGCUUACCGAACAGUCCGGUUCGGAAACGCCGUUCAGAGGUCUCUAAUUUGCUUAUCAGUACUUGUCCUAAAGCGGGCUGUUUUCGUCAACCGCUUAAUCCAUCUGACUCCGAUUAUCAGGUUACUUCCCACUCAUCCUCUGGCGAGUCAUCGGCUACUCAGCUGCCACCGCUCAAAACUGUGCUUGGGGCCAAGCUUAAGCCGAGCAAGAAGGCUCGCCUGGAUAAAGCGACCGAAGAAGAAACUGCUCCUGAACCGGACAACACCCCAGAUCUUGAAGCGGCUAUUCGUGAAGAUGUGCCCAACGACCUGCCACUGCAAGAUGAGGAUUUUAUUGCUGAAGAAAGGCCUGUUGAUGCCUCCGGUCCUGCCGACCAGCCCAGAAGUCCCAUCCGGAUUGAGAAAUCCACCAGCCCAUCCAAGACUACUGGUAAACUGACAGCCCCGGUGCAAACCGGUGACGCCCAGGAUGAUGAAGUUGUUAUUACUGGUGUUGGCCAUACCGAGCCAAGCAAUCAUGUCGCUUUGUCCAAACAUAAUGCCAAGGACAAAUUCGCCGCAAUGGGCAAGGCCAAGUGGAAUGUCGAUUUGGCGACUUAUGCUGCUCUGAAUGCCCAAGGUCUUCAUUCUGGCUACCUGAACCGACUGUAUACCAGUCGUGAUUAUGAAGCUGGCCUAGUGAAUAUGAUGAAAGAGAAUUUUGAGGCUGAGCUGAAGACCAAAGAAAUCCAACUCGCCGAUCUUCAAGAAAAUUUGAAAUCCCAACAAGCUGAAACCUCAAAGGCGAAAGAGGAAUUGACCAGCGCUUUAAGCGUCAUGGAACAGCUUAAGGAGGGCUUCAAAAAAGAGCGGACAGAUUGGGCCACUGAGAAGGCCGCUUUGACCAAGAAAAUUGAAACUGCUGAAGCCGCCCUUAAACCGGUGGUAGAUGAGCUGACCAGCGUAAAGCGGCAAGUGCAUGCCAUGACUGCCGCCAUCUUUGGCACAUGCAUUGGUCACUUAGGGUCAGAUGUUCGGAUGAAAUUGAAAGCCGCCUGCACAUUAAUUGAACAGCUGUAUACUAGAGCGCAGCGGAUCAUCUCUACUGCAUCACAUAACAAUCCGGCGCCCACUUUAAUUCAAGAUACUCUUAAGAGGUUGUCAAUGCUUCCCCCCGGGUUGAAGAGCUGA
This 1236-nucleotide ribosomal RNA is filed under the name Triticum aestivum (bread wheat). RNAcentral describes it as "partial small subunit ribosomal RNA". Lineage: Eukaryota; Viridiplantae; Streptophyta; Magnoliopsida; Poales; Poaceae. The record is from RNAcentral.